This 492-nucleotide ribosomal RNA is filed under the name uncultured bacterium. Its description in RNAcentral is "partial 16S ribosomal RNA". It matches the Rfam family "Bacterial small subunit ribosomal RNA", at positions 28 to 507 of the family's 1533-position model. The record is from RNAcentral.
GAUGAACGCUGGCUACAUGCUUAACACAUGCAAGUCGAGGGGAAACGACAUCGAAAGCUUGCUUUUGAUGGGCGUCGACCGGCGCGCGGGUGAGUAACGCGUAUCCAACCUGCCCAUCACUUGGGAAUAACCUUGCGAACGUAAGACUAAUACCCAAUGACAUCCCACGAAGACAUCUGAAUGGGAUUAAAGUUUUAUCGGUGAUGGAUGGGGAUGCGUCUGAUUAGCUUGUUGGCGGGGUAACGGCCCACCAAGGCAACGAUCAGUAGGGGUUCUGAGAGGAAGGUCCCCCACAUUGGAACUGAGACACGGUCCAAACGCCUACGGGAGGCAGCAGUGAGGAAUAGUGGUCAAUGGGAGAGAGCCUGAACCAGCCAAGUAGCGUGCAGGAGGACGGCCCUAUGGGUGGUGAACUGCUUUUAUAAGGGAAUAAAGUGGGUCUCGUGAGACUUUUUGCAGGUACCUUAUGAAUAAGGACCGGCUAAUUACGUG